AACGCUAGCUACAGGCUUAACACAUGCAAGUCAGGGGCAGCAUGAACAAGCUUGCUUUGUUUGAUGGCGACCGGCGCACGGGUGCGUAACACGUAUGCAACUUACCCAUAAACAGGGAUAACCCGGAGAAAUUCGGACUAAUACUUGAUGGCAUUGAGCGAAGGCAUCUUCACUUAAUUAAAGAUUUAUCGAUUAUGGAUAGGCAUGCGCAUGAUUAGCUAGUUGGUGAGGUAACGGCUCACCAAGGCGACGAUCAUUAGGGGUUCUGAGAGGAAGGUCCCCCACACUGGUACUGAGACACGGACCAGACUCCUACGGGAGGCAGCAGUGAGGAAUAUUGGUCAAUGGGCGGAAGCCUGAACCAGCCAAGUAGCGUGAAGGAUUACUGCCCUACGGGUUUUAAACUUCUUUUAUGCGAGAGUAAUGUGCGCUACGUGUAGCGUUAUUGCAAGUAUCGCAUGAAUAAGCAUCGGCUAACUCCGUG
RNAcentral lists this ribosomal RNA (484 nucleotides) under uncultured bacterium. RNAcentral's name for it is "bacterial SSU rRNA". It matches the Rfam family "Bacterial small subunit ribosomal RNA", at positions 32 to 507 of the family's 1533-position model. The record is from RNAcentral.